CAUUGUUCUCAGGGCGGGGUGCGAUUCCCCACCGGCGGUAAAGGCGGCGACGCCAAGCCCGCGAGCGCUUCUGGACGGAGGUCCAGGAGGUCAGCAGAUCCGGUGUAAUUCCGGAGCCGACGGUAUAGUCCGGAUGAAAGAGAACGGGA
This 149-nucleotide non-coding RNA is filed under the name Devosia sp. Root436. RNAcentral's name for it is "FMN riboswitch aptamer (RFN element)". It matches the Rfam family "FMN riboswitch aptamer (RFN element)". Rfam says of the family: The RFN element is a highly conserved domain that is found frequently in the 5'-untranslated regions of prokaryotic mRNAs that encode for flavin mononucleotide (FMN) biosynthesis and transport proteins. The record is from Rfam by way of RNAcentral. RNAcentral also lists the same sequence under 1 other name. Lineage: Bacteria; Pseudomonadati; Pseudomonadota; Alphaproteobacteria; Hyphomicrobiales; Devosiaceae.